ACGAGUUUUGAAACGAGUUGUAGCUGGCCUUCCGAGGCAUGUGCACGCUCUGCUCAUCCACUCUACCCCUGUGCACUUACUGUAGGUUGGCGUGGGCUCCUUAACGGGAGCAUUCUGCCGGCCUAUGUAUACUACAAACACCUUAAAGUAUCAGAAUGUAAACGCGUCUAACGCAUCUAUAAUA
RNAcentral lists this unclassified non-coding RNA (184 nucleotides) under uncultured Trametes. Lineage: Eukaryota; Fungi; Basidiomycota; Agaricomycetes; Polyporales; Polyporaceae. The record is from RNAcentral.